RNAcentral lists this ribosomal RNA (464 nucleotides) under uncultured bacterium. RNAcentral's name for it is "partial 16S ribosomal RNA". It matches the Rfam family "Bacterial small subunit ribosomal RNA", at positions 28 to 507 of the family's 1533-position model. The record is from RNAcentral.
GACGAACGCUGGCGGCGUGCUUAACACAUGCAAGUCGAACGGAAAGGCCCUGCUUGCAGGGUACUCGAGUGGCGAACGGGUGAGUAACACGUGGGUGAUCUGCCCUGCACUUCGGGAUAAGCCUGGGAAACUGGGUCUAAUACCGGAUAGGAGCCAUUUUUAGUGUGAUGGUUGGAAAGUUUUUUCGGUGUAAGAUGAGCUCGCGGCCUAUCAGCUUGUUGGUGGGGUAAUGGCCUACCAAGGCGGCGAGGGGUAGCCGGCCUGAGAGGGUGGACGGCCACAUGGGGACUGAGAUAGGGCCCAGACGCCUACGUGAGGCAGCAGUGGGAAAUAUUGCACAAUGGGCGCAAGCCUGAUGCAGCGACGCCGCGUGGGGGAUGACGGCCUUCGGGUUGUAAACUCCUUUCGCUAGGGACGAAGCUUUUGUGACGGUACCUAGAUAAGAAGCACCGGCUAACUACGUG